GAAUCUGCGAAUGGCUCAUUAAAUCAGUUAUAAUUUACUUGAUAAUUAAAUUCUACAAGGAUAACCGUAGUAAUUCUAGAGCUAAUACUUGCUGUUAACCUGACUUUUCGGAAGGGUUGUAUUUAUUAGAUAGCAAACCAUCAGCCCGCAAGGGUUGCUGUGAUGAUUCAUAAUAACUGAUCGGAGCGAGGCCCGGCCUUGCUAAAUCAUUCAAGUUUCUGCCCUAUCACUUUGAUGGUAGUGUAUCUGACUACCAUGAGGAUUACGGGUACGCGGAAUUAGGGUUUGAUUUGCGGAGAGGGAGCCUGAGAAACGGCUACCACUUCUAAGGAAGGCAGCAGGCGCGCAAAUUACCCAAUCCCAAUUCGGGGAGGUAGUGACAAGAAAUAAUAACCCGGGGUCUCAUGAUUUACGGGAUUAAAAUGAGAACAAUUUAAAUCACUUAACGAGGAACAAUUGGAGGGCAAGUUCUGGUGCCAGCAGCCGCGGUAAUUCCAGCUCCAAUAGCGUAUAUUAAAGUUGUUGCAGUUAAAAAGCUCGUAGUCGAUCUUCUAAGAGCGGUGGUCGGGAUCUCCAUCCCGGGUUGCUUGCUCUUAUCUGACUGAGACCACUAUUCGUGCUUAACUGUUGCGAAAGUGUAAAUCAGUCACUUUACUGAGAAAAAAUUAGAGUGUUCAAAGCAGGCACUGUGCCUUGAAUACACAAGCUUGGAAUAAUAGAAUAUGACUGAAGUCUCUUUGUUGGUUUUAAGACUUUGGUAAAGGUUAAUAGAAACAGUA
This 779-nucleotide ribosomal RNA is filed under the name uncultured marine eukaryote. RNAcentral describes it as "SSU rRNA". It matches the Rfam family "Eukaryotic small subunit ribosomal RNA", at positions 83 to 883 of the family's 1831-position model. The record is from RNAcentral.